GGAGAUAUGGUUUAAGUGGUAAAGCACCUGCUUAGCAGGCAUGGAGCCCUGAGUUCAAACCCCAGUACUACCU
RNAcentral lists this transfer RNA (73 nucleotides) under Dipodomys ordii (Ord's kangaroo rat). It matches the Rfam family "tRNA". Rfam says of the family: Transfer RNA (tRNA) molecules are approximately 80 nucleotides in length. Lineage: Eukaryota; Metazoa; Chordata; Mammalia; Rodentia; Heteromyidae. The record is from Rfam by way of RNAcentral.